RNAcentral lists this ribosomal RNA (794 nucleotides) under Eurotium sp. RNAcentral's name for it is "SSU rRNA". It matches the Rfam family "Eukaryotic small subunit ribosomal RNA", at positions 76 to 880 of the family's 1831-position model. The record is from RNAcentral. Lineage: Eukaryota; Fungi; Ascomycota; Eurotiomycetes; Eurotiales; Aspergillaceae.
AUACUGUGAAACUGCGAAUGGCUCAUUAAAUCAGUUAUCGUUUAUUUGAUAGUACCUUACUACAUGGAUACCUGUGGUAAUUCUAGAGCUAAUACAUGCUAAAAACCUCGACUUCGGAAGGGGUGUAUUUAUUAGAUAAAAAACCAACGCCCUUCGGGGCUCCUUGGUGAAUCAUAAUAACUAAGCGAAUCGCAUGGCCUUGCGCCGGCGAUGGUUCAUUCAAAUUUCUGCCCUAUCAACUUUCGAUGGUAGGAUAGUGGCCUACCAUGGUGGCAACGGGUAACGGGGAAUUAGGGUUCGAUUCCGGAGAGGGAGCCUGAGAAACGGCUACCACAUCCAAGGAAGGCAGCAGGCGCGCAAAUUACCCAAUCCCGACACGGGGAGGUAGUGACAAUAAAUACUGAUACGGGGCUCUUUUGGGUCUCGUAAUUGGAAUGAGUACAAUCUAAAUCCCUUAACGAGGAACAAUUGGAGGGCAAGUCUGGUGCCAGCAGCCGCGGUAAUUCCAGCUCCAAUAGCGUAUAUUAAAGUUGUUGCAGUUAAAAAGCUCGUAGUUGAACCUUGGGUCUGGCUGGCCGGUCCGCCUCACCGCGAGUACUGGUCCGGCUGGACCUUUCCUUCUGGGGAACCUCAUGGCCUUCACUGGCUGUGGGGGGAACCAGGACUUUUACUGUGAAAAAAUUAGAGUGUUCAAAGCAGGCCUUUGCUCGAAUACAUUAGCAUGGAAUAAUAGAAUAGGACGUGCGGUUCUAUUUUGUUGGUUUCUAGGACCGCCGUAAUGAUUAAUAGGGAUA